GCUGGGUUAAGUCCCGCAACGAGCGCAACCCUUGUCUUCUGUUGCCAUCGGGUUAUGCCGGGCACUCUGAAGAGACUGCCGGUGACAAACCGGAGGAAGGUGGGGAUGACGUCAAGUCAGCAUGGCCUUUAUGUCUGGGGCCACACACGUGCUACAAUGGCCGGUACAAACCGUCGCGAUACCGUAAGGUGGAGCUAAUCGGAGAAAGCCGGUCUCAGUUCGGAUUGUAGUCUGCAACUCGACUCCAUGAAGCUGGAAUCGCUAGUAAUCGCUGAUCAGCAAGCAGCGGUGAAUACGUUCCCGGGCCUUGUACACACCGCCCGUCACAUCACGAAAGCCAGUUGUACUAGAAGCCGGUGAUUCAACCGCAAGGAGAUAGCCGUCCAAGGUAUGACUGGUGAUUGGGGUGAAGUCGUAACAAGGUGAUCCA
RNAcentral lists this ribosomal RNA (430 nucleotides) under uncultured Acidobacteriota bacterium. Its description in RNAcentral is "bacterial SSU rRNA". It matches the Rfam family "Bacterial small subunit ribosomal RNA", at positions 1074 to 1503 of the family's 1533-position model. The record is from RNAcentral. Lineage: Bacteria; Pseudomonadati; Acidobacteriota.